Molecule: long non-coding RNA, 784 nt
Filed under: Homo sapiens (human)
Lineage: Eukaryota; Metazoa; Chordata; Mammalia; Primates; Hominidae
Description: HSALNT0341413
Source: RNAcentral
CUUCUAGGUGGUGAAAAGUGACAGCUGCUCUGUGCAGUUACGAUGCUGCACUGCCACAGUAACCUUCUCCCUCUGUGGUGAUCCAAUAUUCUACCAUAUGUCAGCAAAACUAUUCCAGCCCGGCCCUUUCAACUCUCCCGAAUCUAAGCCAACAGUCAAGGUACUAUGAAGACGUCAGGCGUAUGGAAAUAACAGAUGGGAAAGGCGAGCAGAGAUCAUUACUCUGAACUGUCUUGGAUGUCCCUGGGCAAUGCUAAGCUAACAUUCAGCAGUGUCUACAAGAUGACACACAACAUGUUGAAAGAAUGGAGCGGUGAUUCCCUUGGAAGGAUGUGAAAAGCUUUCCAAUCUCGAGGUGAUAUCAGAGCUCUUUCCCAUUGAAACACUUGGAUGCUCUUUCUCCAGCUAUCAUGCUCUCUUUUUUCCACUCAAGAAAAGAAGAGAAUGCAGGUUCCCACAGAUACUGCAAGCCCCCUCAAGCUUAGGCAGUGGCCCUAACUUAGAUCUCUCUUCCUUCUAGAUCAACACAGCUGCAAUGGAGGGUUCAUAACGGCACCUGCCUGGUUGGAGAGAGGUUUAAGCAGAUGACAAGGAGGAAGUGCCUGGUGCAGGAUAAGGCCUCAGGAAUGGCCCAGGUUGUCCCUGCUUGGAGCUUCAGAUGUGGUUUGAACCCAGGUCUGCAUGAUUCUCAAGUCAUACUUCAACAAACACAAUAAAACUCAUAUCAAAUGUUGGACAGCAUUACUUGGCAUUAUUGGGUUGCAAAACUUCAAGCCAGUUACAG